RNAcentral lists this ribosomal RNA (320 nucleotides) under Shigella sp. FC1967. Its description in RNAcentral is "bacterial LSU rRNA". It matches the Rfam family "Bacterial large subunit ribosomal RNA", at positions 2403 to 2720 of the family's 2925-position model. The record is from RNAcentral. Lineage: Bacteria; Pseudomonadati; Pseudomonadota; Gammaproteobacteria; Enterobacterales; Enterobacteriaceae.
AAGUAGGUCUUAGUGAUCCGGUGGUUCUGAAUGGAAGGGCCAUCGCUCAACGGAUAAAAGGUACUCCGGGGAUAACAGGCUGAUACCGCCCAAGAGUUCAUAUCGACGGCGGUGUUUGGGCACCUCGAUGUCGGCUCAGUCACAUCCUGGGGCUGAAGUAGGUCCCAAGGGUAUGGCUGUUCGCCAUUUAAAGUGGUACGCGAGCUGGGUUUAGAACGUCGUGAGACAGUUCGGUCCCUAUCUGCCGUGGGCGUUGGAAGAUUGAGAGGGGUUGCUCCUAGUACGAGAGGACCGGAGUGAACGCACCACUGGUGUUCGGG